CCAUCUGCAGGUUUCGAGACGUGGCUCACGGCAACACUCGUGUGGUUCACAGAGCAGACCACUCUCCAGACGUAGCUAACUCGGCUACUCCUGACUCGGAGACUCGUCUUCUGACUCGGAAACCUGGUCAACACGGUUCUUCUUCAUCGUCUCGGUCUCUUAGAUAUGGCUCAACUACGUUAUCCGCAACGACGUCAUUUAGAGCCAUGCAGUUCCGUAAACUCUCCGGAUGUUACGAGUGUCACAUGAUCGUUGACCCUAGCAAGUAUACAAAAUUAAAUUCCGCCAAUAAAUUAGCUGUCGUUAUAUUUUUGGUGUUUCAUUUAUUGAUUUUUUUUGAAUUUUAGGUAUCCAAUUUCGCCUAGGGUUCGUGCUUGUUCCCAGUGUGGAGAAGUUUUCCCGAAGCUUGAAAGCUUAGAGCUUCAUCAAGCGGUUCGUCACGCAGGUAAUGUUUAACUUUUUUUCUUUAAUUUGUUGGACGUUAUCACGCUCAAUAUUGAUUUUGGGAUGUACAUAUGUAGUCACGUUUCUAAAGUUAACCCUGGUAUUAAAGAUUGUUUUAUUCAUCUAGUGGCAUUUCUAAAGUUAACCCUAGUACAGUAGUACUAACACAUGUUUUGGUGACAUGGAUUCAUCAUAGGGUUUACCAUAAUGCUAAGCAAUAAUUCACUAACUAGGAUAAAAAUGAGCAGGGUAAGUUUAUUUGUAUAUAUUAUCGAUAUUUUUUUUUAUAUAUUUGAUCAUUUUAUUUAUAAAUAUACAAUAUUUUUUGUUGUUAUUCUAUAAUUUAUUUCUGAUGGACCGGAUCAAUUUUUAUUAAAAAUUGUGGAACUAAACUAUAAUUAAUAUAUUAUGGAUUGAUCGGAUUGUACAUUAAACAAAUUAUGACACAAAAACUUUAUUUUUUUCCACCGAACACAUUCUUGAAAAAAGUAAACAGUACUAUUUUCACAGUUGAAUUAUUUUGACAUUUAUCUUUCAUAUGGUUUUGAAAGAGUUAAGAUUAACCAUCGAAUUGAUACAUGUCAUUUUAAUGUUUUUCGUUGUAUGCUUAAGGAAAAAUUACAUUUUUGUAAUUUAAAAUCGUUUAAAAAACUUCAAAAUAUAACAUAUAAGAAAAAAUGUAACAUAUAAGAAAAAUAUAACAUAUAAGGUUUUCUCAUUUUUGUAAUUUAAAAUCGUUUUAAAAUUUUUAAAUAUAACAUAUAAGAUUUCCUCAUUUUUGUAAUUGAAGUCAUUUAAAAAAAAUCAAAAUAUAACAUAUAAGAAAAAAUCUAAUUUUUUUAUUAUUUGGUCAAUGUGAUUGUUUAUUUUUUUUUAAUAGUAUAAAAAUUAAACAAAAAUGAAGAAAGAUGCAAAAAUUGUUAUCAAAUCUUUAUUAUUCAUAGUCAUUAAUUGUUAUAUAUAUGUUAAUUAUAUUAGGUAAUUAUGUAGCUUUUAUUUAAGAAAAAAAUAAACGCUUCUCAUAUUUUGGGGUGAUAUAAUAUUUCCUAUUAAUUGGAUUUAGACCAACAUUUUUUCGAUUGAUUUUUAAGCUGCCACGUAAACUAAAUUGUCAUCCUAAUUAAGUGACAUCUAAGCAUGAUCUUUUUUUAAUUAGUAUAAAUUUAAAGUUAUAAUUUUUUUAAUGACCCUCAAUUAAUAUAUAUGGGAUAUGCUUUCAUGUUAUAGCUAGCUUAGUUUUUUCAGUAAUGGAAUCAAGAUCAAGAGAUCUCAUUGCUAGUGUCGGUGAUAAUAUCUAUCAAAUAAAUUAGGAAGAUUUGGCAUUAUGUUUAGUUUGUAAUUAGAAUAUAAAUUUAUUUAACGCAUCUCAAAGAAAAAAAUACAAAAUAUAAGAGGAAUAUUAAUGGAGAACAGUAUAUUAUACUUCCUCUAUUCCAAAAAAAAAAAGGAUUUUCUAAAGUAUUCACGCAUAUUAAAAAAACAAUAAAUUUUUUACAAUUGAAUUUAUUAUUUAUUUUACUGUACAUUUUCCAAUAAAUAUCAACCAAUAGUAUUCAACCAAUUCAAAUAUUUUCAAUUAAUGUUUUUUAAAAGUAUUCAAUUUUUCAACAUUAACUAGUGAAAGUACUUUCAAAUUUUAGAAAAUCUAUUAUUUUGGAACAAAAAAAAUCUACAAAAUUCUACUUUCAUUUUGCUCGGAAACACUUCGGUAUGCGAUGGGACCAUUGGUACUAUAAACAUGAACAGCUGUAACAUUUCUUAACUAAAUUCAGUGUCCCCUGACGAACCGAAUUUAAAAUUCAGUUUUUGUGUUUUGCCUCGACUUUUAUCAUGUUCCCUGAUUUAAACGUCGUCCUUUAAUUACAGUGUCGGAGUUAGGUCCGGAAGAUUCGGGUCGAAACAUAGUGGAGAUCAUAUUCAAGUCAAGCUGGCUUAAAAAGGACAGUCCAAUCUGUAAGAUCGAACGGAUACUAAAAGUACACAACACUCAACGUACAAUCCAACGGUUCGAAGAUUGCCGAGACGCAGUGAAGGCGCGUGCACUUCAAACUACAAGAAAAGACGCUCGUUGCGCUGCAGACGGUAACGAGCUUCUCCGUUUCUACUGCACCACUCUCACUUGCUCUCUCGGAUCUCGUGGCUCGUCUUCCCUCUGCUCUAAUCUCCCUAACUGCGGCGUGUGCAACGUGAUUCGCCACGGUUUCCAAGGAAAAUCCGGCGCCGGAGAAGCCAACGCAGGCGUGAGGACGACGGCGAGUAGUGGAAGAGCUGAUGAUUUGCUGAGGUGUAGCGAUGAUGCGAGGAGAGUGAUGCUUGUGUGUCGUGUGAUCGCUGGGAGUGUUAAACGUGUCGAUUCUACGGCGGCGGAGAAGAAGUCUCCCGUGGAAGAUAACUCGACGGUUGGAGUUUCUUCUACCGGCGGUGUGUUUGACUCGGUGGCGGUCAAUGCCGGAGCUUAUUCAAAUAUGGAGGAGCUGGUGGUUUAUAACCCGAGGGCUAUAUUACCUUGCUUCGUGGUUAUUUACAAGGUUGUAGAAUCUUGAAUUUGUUGUAUUAACUUCAGAAAUAAUGCUUUUUCUGACUUUGUAAUAUUGUAGGGAGAUUAAGUUAAUCAUCAUUUAAGAUCUUAACAUAAACCCCAUCUUACUAUUGCAUAAGAUUAAUAAAUUUUGCAUUGAAAAUCGAAAACGACACUUAUUUUGUAACGAAAAAAAUUAUCUAAAACGACACUUAAUAUGAAACGGAAAGAGUAAUAAUAAUACCAAACAUGUUUGCGUCGCAUAUUCAGCUUGCAUUUCGACCGAUGGAAGCUUCAUUGACACUGACCAAGUCAGCUCUUAAGAAGGUCAAACUAUAAUGGCUUAGAUGUGAAGUAACCAUGAUCAAUUUUCAAUGGCUUACUCUAUUUUUUACUUUAAAAUAAAAUAAUUCUAUAAUAAAGUUUUAAGUUUGUUUUAAUGGUAGUCUAUUUUAGAGUAAAAGAUAGAGUGAUAAGCAAAAAAAAAAAUCAAAUUACUCUAUAUUUAGAAUAAAUUUAUUUUUUUACUCUAUUAUAGAAUAAGAAAUAUAGUAUCAUUAGAGCAUUUUUACACUAAAUUCUAUUUUAUAGCAAAAAUUGAGUGGGGUUGGAGAUGCUCUAAUUGUUAAAGCACAUAUAAGCUAACCAAACUAGUUCAGAAAGAAUUAAUGUCAUUUUCUUCUAACUAAUUUCUUAUCAUUAGCACUUUAGAACUUAGUAUAAUUCAUAUUAAAUACUGUUUUCUUUAAGGAAAAUAUAGUGUUAACUGUACCACAACUAACAGAGCAGCAAACAGAUGCCAACAUUAAUUACAAUAUUUUUUACUGACAAAACAAAAUAUUUGAAUAUUAGUACGCUAUUUUCCAGUAAAAAGCUAAUUAUGAUUAAGAAAACAAAUCGAAUGACAAGAAUACUGAAAGGUAUAGAGUAAAACAGUAAAUAAAGAAUUAAAGAAACAUAGAGGCCACCACUUUAAUCUUUCCCUCCUUAUUACCCCAUCUUGGAUCCAUCUUCGAUUUCAACACCAACAAAAAAGCCUUAUAAUUAAAGAACCAAAAAGAAACUCUCACGUUCUCUCAAGAGCUUCUCUUUCAGUUUCAAUGGCCUUACUAACUUUCUUGCCGGAAAACGCAGAGUCUCCAAAACACACUCCACCGCCAAACAAACGCAAGAAACGCGAGAUCAAUCACACCAACCAAACGCAGAAACCACACAAACCGCAAAAGCAGAAAGCAGUAGCACCUCAGAAGCAACCGUCUUCAUGGGACCAAAUCAAGAAUCUCUUGACUUGCAAGCAAAUCGAAGGGUCAAGAAUCCACGACCCUUCCAAGAACUCUCAACCCGGUCCAUCCACAACCACUCACUUAUUAUCACCUUCCAAGCUUGGCUCGUCGUGCAGCUCCAUCUGCAGGUUUCGAGACGUGGCUCACGGCAACACUCGUGUGGUUCACAGAGCAGACCACUCUCCAGACGUAGCUAACUCGGCUACUCCUGACUCGGAGACUCGUCUUCUGACUCGGAAACCUGGUCAACACGGUUCUUCUUCAUCGUCUCGGUCUCUUAGAUAUGGCUCAACUACGUUAUCCGCAACGACGUCAUUUAGAGCCAUGCAGUUCCGUAAACUCUCCGGAUGUUACGAGUGUCACAUG
Molecule: long non-coding RNA, 4611 nt
Filed under: Brassica napus (rape)
Lineage: Eukaryota; Viridiplantae; Streptophyta; Magnoliopsida; Brassicales; Brassicaceae
Description: long non-coding RNA (BNAP_LNC011276)
Source: RNAcentral